This 605-nucleotide long non-coding RNA is filed under the name Homo sapiens (human). RNAcentral's name for it is "C-X9-C motif containing 2 (ENSG00000291948.1)". Lineage: Eukaryota; Metazoa; Chordata; Mammalia; Primates; Hominidae. The record is from RNAcentral.
AAUUUGUUCAUUUGUAUAGUUGAUCCUUGAACAGCUUGGAAGUUCGGGGCACUGACCCCCAUGCAGUUGAAAGUCCACAUAUAACUUUUUGACUCCCCAAAAACUUGUCUGAGAGUUUCCUGUUGUCUGAAAGCCUUACUGAUAGCAUAAAUAGCACAACAUUCUGAAAUUUUUUGGUUAUUGUAAUGAUGUUGAUCGGGAGUUGAGAAAAUGCCUGAAGAAUGAGUACGUAGAAAACAGGACCAAGAGCAGGGAGCAUGGCAUUGCAAUGCGAAAGAAACUUUUUAAUCCUCCAGAGGAAUCCGAAAAAUAAAUUGUAUUUUCACUCGAUGCCUUGGCUGAGAGAAGACCUAAAGACUCUGGGUUGAUACCUGAAAGAAUCCUGUCUUAUUUGGUCUCCAUAAUCCUUUGAAUGGAAAGUGACCUGUGAGAGAUUGAACCAUGGAGAAAUAUGAAAACCCUGGAUUCUGAGUAUUUGUUGGGCAGGGCGUUUAGUACUGUCUCCCCUUUACCAGCAAACCUGACUUCACCAUGUUUAUUCCCUUUGCCUACAACCAGUUAAUAUCUGAGUAACUUAUCUCCUUCAAUAAAAUAAUUUAAAUAAU